RNAcentral lists this long non-coding RNA (2592 nucleotides) under Gallus gallus (chicken). RNAcentral's name for it is "lncRNA (ENSGALG00000048998.1)". The record is from RNAcentral. Lineage: Eukaryota; Metazoa; Chordata; Aves; Galliformes; Phasianidae.
UUAAUUGUCUGUACAUUGUCCCAUCCUGUCACUAAUCUUGUCCUUCUUGCCUUCUCCCCAUAUUCCUUGUUUCUCCUUGCAUUGCUUAUCUCAGUUCAUCUUCCCUUAUCUGCUACCCUUCCUGCCCUAAGGAUCGGAUGUAAAGCAAGCCAGCUUGCUUCUCUUCCCAUGUCACUGCUCAGCCGGGAUACCAAGAAAUCUUUCAUCUGGUAUAAGACAGUUAAUUUGGUUUUUGAGGAUCAUGUUGAGGUAUAUUUGUUCAUGUAACAGAAGUGGAGAGCUAAGGCAAGAGUAACACUGAUUGCUCUUCUCAAAAUUGAGAAGCUGACCUGUUUCUUGGAGCACCAAAUCUAUGUGCACCUAUUUCUUAAGACUGCCCCUAGCAAUGGCCAGCCCUUCUGCAGCUGUAUCCCAGCUCCGUACCUUGAGAAGUCAUCUAGGAUUGCCUGGGGAGAUGCCAAACAUUUAGAACAACAAAGUUCUGGAGUUUCACUGGUGGUGCACCCUCAAUGAGAUUUGCUCAGUGCAGACCAUCUUUCUGGUGAAAUGUUAGGCUCAGAGUUAGAAGCUAAGAAAUGAGGGGAAGAUGGUAGGGAGGAUGGAGUACCACCCUGGGAAAUAACGUUAAACAUCUUCCAAUUGAUUGUUGUCCAUUUAUCAAACAACCAAUCUGCCCUUAAGAAAUUUAUAUUAUGUAAAAACACAAAUAUAUUAUUUUCUUACUUUUUACAUUUUCAUGUCAGAAUCUAGAUAUCAACAGGGUGGGUGAGAUCUAAAUGCUUUCUUUUCUAAAUGCUUUCUUCUCCUCUUUGCUCCGACCGACAGAGAAAGUACAAGAAAAAAAUCAAGAUCUGACCUUAAAAUUACCAGUCACUGAGGUUCAGUCCUAAGUUCCUACAAAAAGUACUAACUGCUUUGAAAAUACACUGUCACUACUGGAGAAACAUCACUGAUAAGUAAUGUUUUGUUCCCUCUGAAAAAAAGUGUUCUUUAUAGUAAGGUGACAAAAGCCUUUUGUUUGGAAAGACUGGCAAGAAUCAAUUCCCAAUUAAAUGCAAAGAUAUUUCUUUCUGUGACUCUAAACCAUUAACAGCUAAGAUUACUGGCAUUUCUUCAUUUCAGAAGUUACAUUAGUUCAUCUAUAUCAUUUGGGAGUUGCAAUUAUUAAUCCUGACUUUUCCUGCAUAAGGGAAGCUUAAAAAUUACUACUAUUUUUAGCUUCAGCUCGUAUUUCUGUGAGAUGGACAGCUAAACCUACAACAGCUAUAUUAAGUAUAUCGUGAAACAAACAUAUACUGUGUAAAACUCUCAUGAGUGUAUAUUGAUUGAGCCUUGAGAGGGUCAGUGCAGGAAUACAAUCUGCUGUUCAUUGCACCAGAUGAAACUGGUAACCAAAAUAAUGAAGCAGAGCUGAUUUUGCACAGAUGUAUUCAAAAAACUGAAAUCCAUAUAUACUUAAUAAGGUCAACAUAUUUUUAUUUGAUGCAAAUACACAUACGUAUGUCUUAUUUACAGUGCAAAUAAAACAGUCUGAUCUUCCUAAUUUUGGCCCUGGAAAACACCUACUGACAUUCACAAAGUAUGCAAUAUGAGGCAUGAGGGUUUUGUCUGUUCCUAGCAUUAACUACAGAACUGUAGAACCGUGUAUUUUGGAAGGGAACUCAUGAGAUCAUCUUGGCCUUUUCCCUGCUCAAAGCAGGGACAGCUUCAAAGUUAGAUCAGGCCAUUUUCAGACAAGUUUUGAAUGUCUCAAAGAGUAAUAAAUAUUUGAAGAAUCAAGGGACAAGAAUCUGUUCAUCAUUUUUUAUUACUGACCAAUAUUUGUAUUGUUCUUCCAGCUUCAAAUCCUGUGAUGACCCCUUCUUACAUACCUCUUAUGAAUUCUCCUUUCCGAACAGUUGAAUCAGUGGGAUUGAUAAUUUUUUGUCUGCAUUACCUUGAGAUUACUCUUUUGUAACCAUCAUGUAGACUUGAUAGAGGAGAUAAUGCCAUGAAAAAGUCUUUAAAAUACAUUGUUCAUACAUUAGCCCUCCUUUGAAAUAAUCAAAUGUCCCAAUGGAAAAAAAAGCUACAUAAUUCUGUCCUGGUUUAUUUAUUUAUUUGGUUGGUUUUUUAUGAAUAUGCCAUUUCCAGUGGAAGAAGAAACAUCAGUUUAGAGGAAAUUGAUUAUACUUUUCAUUAAUAGAUUUUUUGUUGCUGCUCAUGUGUGUUUGAAUAUUUAUCUGGUUAACCUACUUAAUGUCAUCUGUUUGUUUAUUUGUUUGUUUUCGCAUUGAGAUAGAAGAACAGCAUGCAUGAGUACUUGAUCUGAGGAUGAAAUCAUAACUGACAGGAUUGAUUUAACUGUAAUGAGUAAUUUCAUCAGAGGAAAGAUUUGUUCCGUCAGUUCAACUAAAUUGGAGGCUGAAUUUUAACAAGGUCCCAUCCACUAUAGUAAUGAUUAGAUCUCCCCACGAAAAUCUAAGUGUUAAAUAGAAGGUGGCUUGCUUCUCCACUCUCUGCUGCUUUUGGAAUAUCCUGUAUUUCCUGAGUAUUGUUGUUCUGUUUGUGCUGUUAAGCCUGUGUUACCCUGAAAAAUGAAGAGUUAAGUGG